CUAGACACAGCCUCCUAUUGAGCUCACUUGAGUGGAGACACUCAAGAGAGCAGGAUGCUCUGCUGUUGUCUCCCGACUUGUCGAGGCUGUGGCUUCAGGAAAGCCAAGAAACAGAGCCUUUUCAGUUGCUACACACAUUGGCUUGGCCCUCACCUGCACCGCCUCUGGCCAUUUGGCAGGAGGAGCCCUCAGGUAACACAGGGCAGGCCAACCGCCUUAGGCCACAAUGGGAUCCCAACCCCACACCCCUCUGAGCCUCCUUGUGUGUCCGGGGGGAGUGGAGUGAGGGAUGGCGGGGCUGAGGGGGGACCCAUCCUGGGCAGGAGCCCUUUGCCUGGUGUUGGAAGCCUGGCAGUGCGUCGUCUUCCCAGCCUAGGUGUUGGCUAGCAGGAUGGGAGAGUGGGUGCUGGGGACCAAGCUCCUCUACGUAUAUGUCAGUCCUGAGCCCUCCAGGUGUCAUCUCAUUCCCUCCCUGGCUGGAGUUCUACACAGACACUGCUGGAGCUGCACGCAGGAGGUGGUGGAAGAGCUGGCGGAUGGCUUCGGGUACUCCAUCUCCCUGGACAGGGACCAGCUGCACCGCACCAUCAUCAAUAACCAGGGCUGCUCUGAGAGGGAGGUCUGUUGUCCCUCAGCGAGCAAAUGGCCUCGAGGGAGAUCAAUGUGGAGUCCUUCGCAGGACCAAAUUCAGAUUGUACUUUGAGAGCCCAGAAACUUGCUGAGUGUGGGAGCUCCUGUGUCUCCUGUCGCACACGUCUGGGAGGGGCUAGGUGUUCCUGGGUCAGCUGCAGACCUCGAUAAUGCUGGUGGUUCGCAGGGGUGACCCUGACUCUGUGUCCCUCCUCGUCCCACCCAG
This 856-nucleotide long non-coding RNA is filed under the name Equus asinus (donkey). RNAcentral describes it as "lncRNA (ENSEASG00005037800.1)". The record is from RNAcentral. Lineage: Eukaryota; Metazoa; Chordata; Mammalia; Perissodactyla; Equidae.